Molecule: ribosomal RNA, 453 nt
Filed under: uncultured bacterium
Lineage: Bacteria
Description: bacterial SSU rRNA
Rfam family: Bacterial small subunit ribosomal RNA
Source: RNAcentral
GACGAACGCUGGCGGUGUGCUUCACACAUGCAUGUCGAACGAGGUAGCAAUACCUAGUGGCGGACGGGGUGAGUAACGCGUGGGAAUCUGCCUUUAGAUGGGGGAUAACGAGCCGAAAGGUUCGCUAAUACCGCAUAUGCCGCAAGGUGAAAGGAGUAAUCCGUCUGAAGAUGAGCCCGCGUCCGAUUAGCUAGUUGGUGGGGUAAAGGCCUACCAAGGCGACGAUCGGUAGCUGGUCUGAGAGGAUGAUCAGCCACAAUAGGGACUGAGACACGGCCCGAUACUCCUACGGGAGGCAGCAGUGGGGAAUUUUACGCAAUGGGGGAAACCCUGACGUAGCGACACCGCGUGAGCGAAGAAGCCCUUGGGGUGUAAAGCUCUGUCAGCUGGAACGAAACAAAUAGACGGUACCAGCAGAGGAAGCAUCGGCUAACUACGUGCCAGCAGCCGCGG